Molecule: small nucleolar RNA, 100 nt
Organism: Chlorocebus sabaeus (green monkey)
Lineage: Eukaryota; Metazoa; Chordata; Mammalia; Primates; Cercopithecidae
Product: small nucleolar RNA U13
Source: RefSeq, a predicted model, not a curated record
AUCCUUUUGUGGAUCAUAAGCCUGAUGAUUGGGUUUUCACACUGUGUGUGACAGGCCUCUCUCAAACCUGUUGCAUCGUGCACACAUUACCUGUCUGACA